UACGUAGGGUGCAAGCGUUGUUCGGAAUAACUGGGCGUAAAGGGCGCGUAGGCUGGUUUGUAAGUCGAUUGUGAAAUCCCCGAGCUCAACUCGGGAACUGCAGUCGAUACUGCAAAUCUUGAAUGUUCGAGAGGAUGGCGGAAUUCCUGGUGUAGUGGUGAAAUACGUAGAUAUCAGGAAGAACACCUGAGGCGAAGGCGGCUAUCUGGUGAAACAUUGACGCUGAGGCGCGAAAGCGUGGGGAUCAAACAGG
RNAcentral lists this ribosomal RNA (253 nucleotides) under uncultured bacterium. RNAcentral describes it as "partial 16S ribosomal RNA". It matches the Rfam family "Bacterial small subunit ribosomal RNA", at positions 524 to 776 of the family's 1533-position model. The record is from RNAcentral.